GGAUGUGAGGGCGAUCUGGCUGUGACAUCUGUCACUGAUUGAUUGCCAGGGUUGAUUCGUUUAAUCUGGCUGGCUAGGCCGGUGUCCCCUUCCUCCCUCACCAUUCCAUGUGCGUCCCUCCCAAAGGUGUGCACUCAGUCAAAGAGGAUGACCUUCCCCGAGUACAGGAGGACCGGUCUUCAGUCAAGGGUAUAGGAGUAGCUGAGUUCCCUUGCUAGAACCUCCAAACAAGCUGUCAAAAUUCAAGAUAUUCUGAAUUAAGAUAUAUGAAAGCCUACUUCUUUGGAUAACAGGACAUCCAGAAGCUAUAAAUUGCUACUAGAA
This 324-nucleotide small nuclear RNA is filed under the name Jaculus jaculus (lesser Egyptian jerboa). RNAcentral describes it as "7SK RNA (ENSJJAG00000006623.1)". It matches the Rfam family "7SK RNA". Rfam says of the family: 7SK was discovered as an abundant small nuclear RNA in the mid-70s but a possible function has only recently been suggested. Two independent studies have found that 7SK RNA binds the CDK9/cyclin T complex (known as elongation factor P-TEFb). The record is from RNAcentral. Lineage: Eukaryota; Metazoa; Chordata; Mammalia; Rodentia; Dipodidae.